GAUGAACGCUAGCGGCAGGCCUAAUACAUGCAAGUCGAACGGGAUUGCGGUAGUAGCUUGCUACUACUGCAUGAGAGUGGCGCACGGGUGCGUAACGCGUGAGCAACCUACCCAUAUCAGGGGGAUAGCCCGGCGAAAGUCGGAUUAACACCGCAUAACAUCAACAGUUCGCAUGUUCAGUGGAUUAAAUAUUUAUAGGAUAUGGAUGGGCUCGCGUGACAUUAGCUAGUUGGUAGGGUAACGGCUUACCAAGGCAACGAUGUCUAGGGGCUCUGAGAGGAGAAUCCCCCACACUGGUACUGAGACACGGACCAGACUCCUACGGGAGGCAGCAGUAAGGAAUAUUGGUCAAUGGGCGCAAGCCUGAACCAGCCAUGCCGCGUGCAGGAGGACUGCCCUAUGGGUUGUAAACUGCUUUUAUCAUGGAAUAAACCCCUUUCCGAGUAGAGGGUUGAAUGUACCUGAAGAAUAAGGAUCGGCUAACUCCGUG
RNAcentral lists this ribosomal RNA (490 nucleotides) under uncultured bacterium. RNAcentral's name for it is "partial 16S ribosomal RNA". It matches the Rfam family "Bacterial small subunit ribosomal RNA", at positions 28 to 507 of the family's 1533-position model. The record is from RNAcentral.